Molecule: ribosomal RNA, 402 nt
Filed under: uncultured bacterium
Lineage: Bacteria
Description: partial 16S ribosomal RNA
Rfam family: Bacterial small subunit ribosomal RNA
Source: RNAcentral
CCUACGGGUGGCAGCAGUGGGGAAUAUUGCACAAUGGGCGAAAGCCUGACGCAGCGACGCCGCGUGGGUGAUGGAGGUCUUCGGAUCGUAAACCUCUAUCAGCAGGGAAGAACAGUCACUGUGCUAAUCAGCAGUGCAUUGACGGUACCUGCAAAGGAAGCACCGGCUAACUCGGUGCCAGCAGCCGCGGUAAGACGGAGGGUGCGAGCGUUAAUCGGAUUUACUGGGCGUAAAGCGCUCGUAGGCGGUACGGCAAGUCAAGGGUGAAAUCCCCGGGCUCAACGUGGGAACUGCAUUUGAAACGGGCAAACUGGAGUGUGUGAGAGGAUAGUGGAAUUCCAGGUGUAGGAGUGAAAUGCGUAGAUAUUUGGAGGAACAUCAGUGGCGAAGGCGACCAACUGG